RNAcentral lists this ribosomal RNA (490 nucleotides) under uncultured bacterium. RNAcentral describes it as "partial 16S ribosomal RNA". It matches the Rfam family "Bacterial small subunit ribosomal RNA", at positions 30 to 507 of the family's 1533-position model. The record is from RNAcentral.
AUUGAACGCUGGCGGCAGGCCUAACACAUGCAAGUCGAAUGGUAACAGGAAACAGCUUGCUGUUUCGCUGACGAGUGGCGGACGGGUGAGUAAUGUCUGGGAAACUGCCUGAUGGAGGGGGAUAACUACUGGAAACGGUAGCUAAUACCGCAUAACGUCGCAAGCCCAAAGAGGGGGACCUUCGGGCCUCUUGCCAUCAGAUGCGCCCAGAUGGGAUUAGCUAGUAGGUGGGGUAACGGCUCACCUAGGCGACGAUCGCUAUCUGGUCUGAGAGGAUGACCAGCCACACGGGAACUGAGACACGGUCCAGACUCCUGAGGGAGGCAGCAGUGGGGAAUAUUGCACAGUGGGCGCAAGCCUGAUGCAGCCAUGCCGAGUGUAUGAAGAAGGCCUUCGGGUUGUAAAGUACUUUCAGCGGGGAGGAAGGGAGUAAAGUUAAUACCUUUGCUCAUUGACGGUACCCGCAGAAGAAGCACCGGCUAACUCCGCG